Molecule: unclassified non-coding RNA, 225 nt
Filed under: uncultured fungus
Lineage: Eukaryota; Fungi
Description: sequence contains ITS1, 5.8S rRNA gene
Rfam family: 5.8S ribosomal RNA (bases 177-225)
Source: RNAcentral
UCUCCGUUGGUGAACCAGCGGAGGGAUCAUUACUGAGUGAGGGCUCACGCCCGACCUCCAACCCUUUGUGAACCCAUCUUGUUGCUUCGGGGGCGACCCUGCCGUUUCGAUGGCGAGCGCCCCCGGAGGCCUUCAAACACUGCAUCUUUGCGUCGGAGUUUAAGUAAAUUAAACAAAACUUUCAACAACGGAUCUCUUGGUUCUGGCAUCGAUGAAGAACGCAGC